GAUGAACGCUGGCGGCGUGCCUAAUACAUGCAAGUCGAGCGAACAGACGAGGAGCUUGCUCCUCUGACGUUAGCGGCGGACGGGUGAGUAACACGUGGAUAACCUACCUAUAAGACUGGGAUAACUUCGGGAAACCGGAGCUAAUACCGGAUAAUAUAUUGAACCGCAUGGUUCAAUAGUGAAAGACGGUUUUGCUGUCACUUAUAGAUGGAUCCGCGCCGCAUUAGCUAGUUGGUAAGGUAACGGCUUACCAAGGCAACGAUGCGUAGCCGACCUGAGAGGGUGAUCGGCCACACUGGAACGGAGACACGGUCCAAACUCCUACGGGAGGCAGCAGUAGGGAAUCUUCCGCAAUGGGCGAAAGCCUGACGGAGCAACGCCGCGUGAGUGAUGAAGUUCUUCGGAUCGUAAAACUCUGUUAUUAGGGAAGAACAAAUGUGUAAGUAACUAUGCACGUCUUGACGGUACCUAAUCAGAAAGCCACGGCUGACUACGU
Molecule: ribosomal RNA, 496 nt
Filed under: uncultured bacterium
Lineage: Bacteria
Description: partial 16S ribosomal RNA
Rfam family: Bacterial small subunit ribosomal RNA
Source: RNAcentral